Molecule: long non-coding RNA, 2676 nt
Filed under: Triticum aestivum (bread wheat)
Lineage: Eukaryota; Viridiplantae; Streptophyta; Magnoliopsida; Poales; Poaceae
Description: long non-coding RNA (TAES_LNC007186)
Source: RNAcentral
UUCCUUCUCAGUAGCACAAUAGCUGAAAAAUGUAACUUUCUUAAUAACUGUGCAUCAAUACCGCAAAUACACACUUACUGUGAUAGAUUCCAAACUUAGUACAAAUUCCCCUCUCCAGUUCAUCUUGAAAUUAAGAGUUUAGAAGAAAGUAAGAUUUCCGUUUGUGCUAUACCAAUCAGGAUACAUUUACUGUCGAAAACUAUAUAUAUAGAUGAUCAUGCGGCCAGAGCUAGCGCUCAGCAACAAUAGUCCAGUUCUCUUUUGUCCGCCACUUUCUCAAACUGAAGAUGAAUUGCUCGUUCCUAUCUCUAUGCCGUUACACAUGAGCAGACGACAUUUAGCACGGAAGGCUGAAAUUUCUAGGCAUCAAUCUUGUGAACAGAUGAGUUAUGAAGCAAAAGAUACAUACUGCAGAGUAAAACUACAUGAGAAAUGAUUAGUGGAAAACAAUAUAAUUUGUUUAUUGUAAGAACUGAAAACACCGGAGAACCAAUAUACUUCUUAUAGUAAUAAUUCAUAUCCAAAAAGUAAUCGAUUAUGGGAGCAUCUAACGCUGAUUUAAGCAGACAUUUCAUAAAAACAUGUCAAAGAAUUAUCAAUUAUAUCCAACUAAUUACUAAAACGGGAUUUACUGUCAGUAUACAUCUAUAUUCAGUUAGAAAUUAUGGAGAUCCAAGGAGAAUUAUCUAGGUUGUAUGACAUGAGUGCAUAAAUCUUACAAAGGCUAAUUAAUCAUCAGAUACCUUAACAUCUCAAAAAGCUUAAUCCUUAGAAUAUUUCCAUAUCUAGAAUGAAAAUAAUCACAUCAUGUAAUUACUAAAACAGGUACAAAAUACAGUCAAGUCGAUUUUUCAUUUUUACAGAAUAAUUGGUGAGCAUGACAUUGAGCUAUUGUAUCACUAAAAUGUAGCAGCCAAUGGGACCAGCAGAAACCUAUACAUCUAGAAGAAAAUAGUAUCCAAAAUUGUACCAUUGAAGGGAAAUGAUACUCAGACCAAGAUAAAGUCUGCUUCACGGCCACACUCACACAUUCAGUUACAAUCAGCUUAGUCGGCCUGUGAGAGGAGCCUGUGUGUACAUAUUGGACACUACCUGGAUACAUAUAGUUUGUUGUGAUGGAAGUCUCGGGCUCGUAAUGUGGAGAAGGGAACUGAUACUCAGACCAAGAUAAAGUCUGCUUCACGGCCACACACACACAUUCAGUUACAAUCAGCUUAGUCGGCCUGUGAGAGGAGCCUGUGUGUACAUAUUGGACACUACCUGGAUACAUAUAGUUUGUUGUGAUGGAAGUCUCGGGCUCGUAAUGUGGAUAUGGAUGACUCAAGCAGAGCGACAACAUGUGUACACAUAGAAAAUCAUAUAGUGGUUACUUAUCAAACUCAGUUAUUGUCUCAACUGGAAACAUGCAAGCGGAAUUCCGAGAAGAGAUAAUGUCGCAAUCAUCCAAAUGUGCGAUUAAAAAAGUGGUAUGAAAUUGAAGGAUUUCUAUUAACUUGCAAAAUCAGAAUAGUAUUGUCAAAGUGCAACAUUAUUUCAAUUUACUAAAAACUCAAAAAUGCUUGACCGUUAAGAACUUCUUUGGAAGUCAAGUUAAAAGUCCAGGUGGAUUAAUAUUCUUAGGAUAACUGGCCAAGUAUAUGUGCUAUAUUGAGUCUUCAAUUUAGGUUCUGUAUAUAUAGAUUCCUAGCCAAAAAUUACAGCCUAUACUAAUACUCAUCCAAAUGUGCGAUUAAAAAAGUGGUAUGAAACUGAAGGAUUUCUAUUAACUUGCAAAAUCAGAAUAGUAUUGUCAAAGUGCAACAUUAUUUCAAUUUACUAAAAACUCAAAAAUGCUUGAUCGUUAAGAACUUCUUUGGAAGUCAAGUUAAAAGUCCAGGUGGAUUAAUAUUCUUAGGAUAACUGGCCAAGUAUAUGUGCUAUAUUGAGUUUUCAGUUUAGGUUCUGUAUAUAUAGAUUCCUAGCCAAAAAUUACAGCCUAUACUAAUACUGUAAUACAUGACUGGAUAUCAAGAUCACCAGGAUAAAUAGUUUCCUUAUAGAAUCACGUAUGGUUGUGCAGCUAAUUAAACAUCUAGAUAAAUAUAAAGGAUAUACCUUCUUUUCAUCUGACAAUCUCCCGUAAUCAACCACACUUGUAAUAUCUUGGAAGGAGUUUGUGCCUGUAAUUGGGAGGGUCUUGUGAAAUGUUUAAUCUAGUUAUCCUUGCCUUCCUCUGUAGAUAACCAGGUGCAGUACUGAUCAAACAAAAAAAAUAUUCACAAGAAAUGAAAAGAGGGUUCAACAUUGCAAACAAAAAAUAGACCUGACAGAAAAUCAAAAGCUUAUAGACACAAACACAAAUAGUUGGUACCCAGAUCUUCAGAUCGGAAAUGACUUAGAUUUAUUUUUUCCUUAGAUUGCAAGGAUCAGAUCAUUAGAUUAGUUAGUACUGCUCACAAAAGGGUCCAAGUGCAAGUACUCACACGCCAAUGGAAGGCAGACCACGUGCACGAUGACACACGACCUGCUCUAUUUUCUUCAUGCUUUUUGCUUCAUUCCCAUACAAUGCCUGAAACCAGCAAGCACCAGGAUGGGGAUUAGAACUCUGAAUUUACACGCAGAUUAAGGAGAAACACACACACAAAGCUUCGAUACAAAGUUCAGUUAGGGUCCUCUCCGAGGAAAAGGUAUCCCCUC